AGAGUGUUCAAAGACAAACGUACAAAUUUUGUAAUGAAUACUAUUAGCAUGGGAUAAUGGAACAGGACGUUGGUUCUAUUUUUAUUGGUUUCUAGAACUAAUGUAAUGAUUAAAAGGGAUAAGUUGGGGGCAUUAGUAUUUAAUUGUCAGAGGUGAAAUUCUUGGAGUUUAUGAAAGACUAACUUCUGCGAAAGCAUUGUCAAGGAUGUUUUCAUUAAUCAAGAACGAAAGUUAGGGGAUCGAAGACGAUCAGAUACCGUCGUAGUCUUAACCAUAAACUAUGCCGACCAGGGAUUGGAAGACGUUAUUUAAAAAAUAGGACUCCUCCAGCACCUUACGAGAAAUCACAAGUUUUUGGGUUCUGGGGGGGAGUAUGGUCGCAAGGCUGAAACUUAAAGGAAUUGACG
RNAcentral lists this ribosomal RNA (407 nucleotides) under uncultured eukaryote. RNAcentral describes it as "SSU rRNA". It matches the Rfam family "Eukaryotic small subunit ribosomal RNA", at positions 768 to 1158 of the family's 1831-position model. The record is from RNAcentral.